CUCUAUCGAAAAAAAUAAUCAAAUAUGAAGAACGCUAUUAUCGCUUUGUGCUUGAUCGCUACCGUGGUCAACGGUGCCAUCCAUGUGCCUAUCACUCAACAACGUAACCCCAACUUCAGCUGGAGAAACGCUGUCCGCAGUGCCGC
Molecule: non-coding RNA, 146 nt
Filed under: Protocruzia adhaerens
Lineage: Eukaryota; Ciliophora; Spirotrichea
Source: RNAcentral